GACGAACGCUGGCGGCGUGCUUAACACAUGCAAGUCGAACGGAAAGGCCCUGCUUUUGCGGGGUGCUCGAGUGGCGAACGGGUGAGUAACGCGUGAGUAACCUGCCCUUGACUUUCUGAUAACUUCAGGAAACUGGGGCUAAUACCGGAUAGGAGCUCCUGCUGCAUGGUGUGGGUUGGAAAGUUUCGGCGGUUGGGGAUGGACUCGCGGCUUAUCAGCUGGUUGGUGGGGUAGUGGCUUACCAAGGUUUUGACGGGUAGCCGGCCUGAGAGGGUGACCGGCCACAUUGGGACUGAGAUACGGACCAGACUCCUACGGGAGGCAGCAGUGGGGAAUAUUGCGCAACGGGCGGAAGCCUGAUGCAGCAGCGCCGCGUGCGGGAUGACGGCCUUCGGGUUGUAAACCGCUUUCGCCUGUAACGAAGAGUGAGUGACGGUAAUGGGUAAAGAAGCACCGGCUAACUACGUG
RNAcentral lists this ribosomal RNA (468 nucleotides) under uncultured bacterium. RNAcentral's name for it is "partial 16S ribosomal RNA". It matches the Rfam family "Bacterial small subunit ribosomal RNA", at positions 28 to 507 of the family's 1533-position model. The record is from RNAcentral.